ACUCAAAGGAAUAGACGGGGGCCCGCACAAGCGGCGGAGCAUGCGGAUUAAUUCGAUGCAACGCGAAGAACCUUACCAAGGCUUGACAUGGGGUGAAAACUCGCAGAGAUGCGGGGUCCGCAAGGGCGCCUCACAGGUGGUGCAUGGUUGUCGUCAGCUCGUGUCGUGAGAUGUUGGGUUAAGUCCCGCAACGAGCGCAACCCUCGUUCUAUGUUGCCAGCACGUUAUGGUGGGGACUCAUAGGAGACUGCCGGGGUCAACUCGGAGGAAGGUGGGGACGACGUCAAAUCAUCAUGCCCCUUAUGUCUUGGGCUUCACGCAUGCUACAAUGGCCAGUACAAAGGGCUGCGAGACCGUAAGGUGGAGCGAAUCCCAAAAAGCUGGUCUCAGUUCGGAUCGGGGUCUGCAACUCGACCCCGUGAAGUCGGAGUCGCUAGUAAUCGCAGAUCAGCAACGCUGCGGUGAAUACGUUCCCGGGCCUUGCACACACCGCCCGU
RNAcentral lists this ribosomal RNA (497 nucleotides) under uncultured bacterium. RNAcentral describes it as "partial 16S ribosomal RNA". It matches the Rfam family "Bacterial small subunit ribosomal RNA", at positions 899 to 1397 of the family's 1533-position model. The record is from RNAcentral.